AGAGUUUGAUCCUGGCUCAGAUUGAACGCUGGCGGCAUGCUUUACACAUGCAAGUCGAACGGUAACAGGGAGCUUGCUCCGCUGACGAGUGGCGAACGGGUGAGUAAUGCAUCGGAGCGUGCCCAUGUUGUGGGGGAUAACUACGCGAAAGCGUGGCUAAUACCGCAUACGCCCUGAGGGGGAAAGCGGGGGAUUCUUCGGAACCUCGCGCAAUUGGAGCGGCCGAUGUCAGAUUAGCUUGUUGGUGAGGUAAAGGCUCACCAAGGCGACGAUCUGUAGCGGGUCUGAGAGGAUGAUCCGCCACACUGGGACUGAGACACGGCCCAGACUCCUACGGGAGGCAGCAGUGGGGAAUUUUGGACAAUGGGGGCAACCCUGAUCCAGCCAUGCCGCGUGAGUGAAGAAGGCCUUCGGGUUGUAAAGCUCUUUCAGCCGGGAAGAAAACGCACGCUCUAACAUAGCGUGUGGAUGACGGUACCGGACCAAGAAGCACCGGCUAACUACGUGCCAGCAGCCGCGGUAAUAU
Molecule: ribosomal RNA, 526 nt
Filed under: uncultured bacterium
Lineage: Bacteria
Description: bacterial SSU rRNA
Rfam family: Bacterial small subunit ribosomal RNA
Source: RNAcentral